CUUAUCAAGAGUGGUUGAGGGACGGGCCCGAUGAAACCCGGCAACCGGCUGUGCCCGGUGCCAAUUCCCGCGCCGUAAAAGGCGAAAGAUGAGG
Molecule: non-coding RNA, 94 nt
Filed under: pig gut metagenome
Description: SAM riboswitch (S box leader)
Rfam family: SAM riboswitch aptamer (S box leader)
About the family: The SAM riboswitch is found upstream of a number of genes which code for proteins involved in methionine or cysteine biosynthesis in Gram-positive bacteria. The SAM riboswitch acts at the level of transcription termination control.
Source: RNAcentral